Zootoca vivipara (common lizard) is the source of this 444-nucleotide non-coding RNA. The record is from RefSeq and is a predicted model, not a curated record. Lineage: Eukaryota; Metazoa; Chordata; Lepidosauria; Squamata; Lacertidae.
CAUGGACAUAUGCCUAUGAUAAUGCCCAAUUCACUUGUUUGUUUUCCAGAUUAUGAUGCCCACACAGGAUUUUACCACGUACAUGUGGCGGAAGGCAUGCAGCUGCUGCAAAAGUGCUCUUGGACACAGCGGCUCUCUGGACCUCCAGGAGGAAAGCUGUUCUCAAGCAACAUUCACAGUUCAGCAGGAGGAAUCACCCAAUUUUCUUUGAGGUUUUCACAUACGACAGUGUAGAUUAACAUACUCUAAAGCUGCCUGCAGUGUGACCCAAAGGGAGAUCAUCCAUCAGCCUGUAUACUAUACCUUUUACAGUGCAAGUUUCAUUAGGAGGCAUCACUAGCAGUCGAUCUCCAACUUGAACAUAUCCUGCUUCAAUUUUACCAGUCACACAAAAUCCUGAUCCUUGAUCUGCAACAAAAACGUUGGUUGGAGAAAGCAAAAGUA